GCCAGGCACAGUGGUGCACGCCUAAAGUCCCAGCUACUUGGGAGGCUGGGAGGGGAGGAUCGCUUGAGCCCAGGAGUUCUGGGCUGUAGUGCACUAGGCCGUGUCCACGCUAAGUUCAGCAUGACUAUGGUGACCUCCUGGGAGCAGAGGACCACCGGGUUGCCUAAGGAGGGGUGAGGCCCAGGUUUGAAAUGGAGCAGGUCAAAACUCCCGUACUGGUCAGUAGUGGGAUUGCGCCUGUGAGUAGCCACUGCACUCCAGCCUGGGCAACAUAAUGAGACCCUGUCUCA
Molecule: signal recognition particle RNA, 290 nt
Filed under: Microcebus murinus (gray mouse lemur)
Lineage: Eukaryota; Metazoa; Chordata; Mammalia; Primates; Cheirogaleidae
Description: Metazoan signal recognition particle RNA (ENSMICG00000036007.2)
Rfam family: Metazoan signal recognition particle RNA
About the family: The signal recognition particle (SRP) is a universally conserved ribonucleoprotein. It is involved in the co-translational targeting of proteins to membranes.
Source: RNAcentral